UGAGCAAUCUGCCCUUCUCAUCGGAAUAAGCGUUGGAAACGACGUCUAAUGCCGAAUACGACCUCCUUUCGCAUGAUCGGAGGUGGAAAGCUCCGGCGGAGAAGGAUGAGCUCGCGGCCUAUCAGCUUGUUGGUGAGGUAAUAGCUCACCAAGGCGAUGACGGGUAGCCGGCCUGAGAGGGUGACCCGGCCACACGUGGGACUGAGACACGGCCCAGACCUCUACGGGA
RNAcentral lists this ribosomal RNA (229 nucleotides) under uncultured bacterium. RNAcentral describes it as "partial 16S ribosomal RNA". It matches the Rfam family "Bacterial small subunit ribosomal RNA", at positions 118 to 346 of the family's 1533-position model. The record is from RNAcentral.